Molecule: ribosomal RNA, 153 nt
Filed under: Escherichia coli
Lineage: Bacteria; Pseudomonadati; Pseudomonadota; Gammaproteobacteria; Enterobacterales; Enterobacteriaceae
Also listed under: 9 other names
Description: partial 16S ribosomal RNA
Rfam family: Bacterial small subunit ribosomal RNA
Source: RNAcentral
UUAAAUUGAAGAGUUUGAUCAUGGCUCAGAUUGAACGCUGGCGGCAGGCCUAACACAUGCAAGUCGAACGGUAACAGGAAGCAGCUUGCUGCUUUGCUGACGAGUGGCGGACGGGUGAGUAAUGUCUGGGAAACUGCCUGAUGGAGGGGGAUA